CCGUAGCCCAAGAGACUGGGAUAACACCUGGAAACAGAUGCUAAUACCGGAUAACAACACUAGACGCAUGUCUAGAGUUUAAAAGAUGGUUCUGCUAUCACUCUUGGAUGGACCUGCGGUGCAUUAGCUAGUUGGUAAGGUAACGGCUUACCAAGGCAAUGAUGCAUAGCCGAGUUGAGAGACUGAUCGGCCACAUUGGGACUGAGACACGGCCCAAACUCCUACGGAAGGCAGCAG
RNAcentral lists this ribosomal RNA (237 nucleotides) under uncultured bacterium. RNAcentral's name for it is "partial 16S ribosomal RNA". It matches the Rfam family "Bacterial small subunit ribosomal RNA", at positions 125 to 354 of the family's 1533-position model. The record is from RNAcentral.